UACGUAGGUGGCAAGCGUUGUUCGGAAUUACUGGGCGUAAAGCGCGCGUAGGCGGCUCUUCAAGUCAGGCGUGAAAGCCCCGGGCUUAACUCGGGAACUGCGCUUGAUACUGUCGAGCUAGAGUGUGGAAGGGGCGAUUGGAAUUCCGUGUGUAGCGGUGAAAUGCGUAGAUAUCAGGAGGAAUACCGAUGGCGAAGGCAGGUCUCUGGGCUGACACUGACGCUCAUGCACGAAAGCGUGGGGAGCAAACAGG
This 253-nucleotide ribosomal RNA is filed under the name uncultured bacterium. Its description in RNAcentral is "partial 16S ribosomal RNA". It matches the Rfam family "Bacterial small subunit ribosomal RNA", at positions 524 to 776 of the family's 1533-position model. The record is from RNAcentral.